RNAcentral lists this ribosomal RNA (1288 nucleotides) under Vibrio gigantis. RNAcentral describes it as "partial 23S ribosomal RNA". It matches the Rfam family "Bacterial large subunit ribosomal RNA", at positions 1551 to 2819 of the family's 2925-position model. The record is from RNAcentral. Lineage: Bacteria; Pseudomonadati; Pseudomonadota; Gammaproteobacteria; Vibrionales; Vibrionaceae.
UAACGCUGAGAUACGAUGUCGAGCUACUACGGUAGUGAAGUCAUUGAUGCCAUGCUUCCAGGAAAAGCCUCUAAGCUUCAGAUUGUAAGGAAUCGUACCCCAAACCGACACAGGUGGUCGGGUAGAGAAUACCAAGGCGCUUGAGAGAACUCGGGUGAAGGAACUAGGCAAAAUGGUACCGUAACUUCGGGAGAAGGUACGCUCUUAUCAGUGAAGUCCCUUGCGGAUGGAGCAGACGAGAGUCGCAGAUACCAGGUGGCUGCAACUGUUUAUUAAAAACACAGCACUGUGCAAAAUCGUAAGAUGACGUAUACGGUGUGACGCCUGCCCGGUGCCGGAAGGUUAAUUGAUGGGGUUAGACUUCGGUCGAAGCUCUUGAUCGAAGCCCCGGUAAACGGCGGCCGUAACUAUAACGGUCCUAAGGUAGCGAAAUUCCUUGUCGGGUAAGUUCCGACCUGCACGAAUGGCGUAAUGAUGGCCACGCUGUCUCCACCCGAGACUCAGUGAAAUUGAAAUCGCUGUGAAGAUGCAGUGUACCCGCGGCUAGACGGAAAGACCCCGUGAACCUUUACUACAGCUUGGCACUGAACAUUGAACCUACAUGUGUAGGAUAGGUGGGAGACUUUGAAACCGCGUCGCUAGAUGUGGUGGAGUCGUCCUUGAAAUACCACCCUUGUAGUUUUGAUGUUCUAACGUUGGUCCCUGAAUCGGGAUUACGGACAGUGCCUGGUGGGUAGUUUGACUGGGGCGGUCUCCUCCCAAAGAGUAACGGAGGAGCACGAAGGUGGGCUAAACACGGUUGGACAUCGUGUGGUUAGUGCAAUGGCAUAAGCCCGCUUGACUGCGAGAAUGACAAUUCGAGCAGGUGCGAAAGCAGGUCAUAGUGAUCCGGUGGUUCUGAAUGGAAGGGCCAUCGCUCAACGGAUAAAAGGUACUCCGGGGAUAACAGGCUGAUACCGCCCAAGAGUUCAUAUCGACGGCGGUGUUUGGCACCUCGAUGUCGGCUCAUCACAUCCUGGGGCUGAAGUCGGUCCCAAGGGUAUGGCUGUUCGCCAUUUAAAGUGGUACGCGAGCUGGGUUUAGAACGUCGUGAGACAGUUCGGUCCCUAUCUGCCGUGGGCGUUGGAAAAUUGAAAGGGGCUGCUCCUAGUACGAGAGGACCGGAGUGGACGAACCUCUGGUGUUCGGGUUGUCAUGCCAAUGGCAUUGCCCGGUAGCUAAGUUCGGAAUCGAUAACCGCUGAAAGCAUCUAAGCGGGAAGCGAGCCUUGAGAUGAGUUUUCCCUGAC